This 113-nucleotide ribosomal RNA is filed under the name Sinocyclocheilus rhinocerous. The record is from RNAcentral. Lineage: Eukaryota; Metazoa; Chordata; Actinopteri; Cypriniformes; Cyprinidae.
CCCUACGGCCAUAUCACCCUGUAUGUGCCAGAUCUCGUCUGAUCUCGGAAGCUAAGCAGGGUUGGGCUUGGUUACUACUUGGAUGGGAGACUGCCUGGGAAUACCAGGUGCUG